This 63-nucleotide transfer RNA is filed under the name Artemia franciscana. Its description in RNAcentral is "tRNA-Arg". The record is from RNAcentral. RNAcentral also lists the same sequence under 1 other name. Lineage: Eukaryota; Metazoa; Arthropoda; Branchiopoda; Anostraca; Artemiidae.
GAGUAAGAAUUGAUUGAUCAAGUCCAGCUUCGACCUGGGUUUAGGCCUCCCGGCCCUCACUCU